RNAcentral lists this ribosomal RNA (312 nucleotides) under Priestia aryabhattai. Its description in RNAcentral is "bacterial SSU rRNA". It matches the Rfam family "Bacterial small subunit ribosomal RNA", at positions 813 to 1120 of the family's 1533-position model. The record is from RNAcentral. Lineage: Bacteria; Bacillati; Bacillota; Bacilli; Caryophanales; Bacillaceae.
GUGCUAAGUGUUAGAGGGUUUCCGCCCUUUAGUGCUGCAGCUAACGCAUUAAGCACUCCGCCUGGGGAGUACGGUCGCAAGACUGAAACUCAAAGGAAUUGACGGGGGCCCGCACAAGCGGUGGAGCAUGUGGUUUAAUUCGAAGCAACGCGAAGAACCUUACCAGGUCUUGACAUCCCCUGACAACUCUACAGAUACAGCCGUUCCCCUUUCGGGGACAGAGUGACACGUGGUGCAUGGGUGGCGGCAGCUCGGGUCGGGCGAAGGUGGGGUAACUCCCGCAACGAGCGCAACCCUUGAUCUUAGUUGCCA